CGGACGGGUGAGUAACACGUGGAUAACCUACCUAUAAGACUGGGAUAACUUCGGGAAACCGGAGCUAAUACCGGAUAAUAUAUUGAACCGCAUGGUUCAAUGGUGAAAGACGGUUUUGCUGUCACUUAUAGAUGGAUCCGCGCCGCAUUAGCUAGUUGGUAAGGUAACGGCUUACCAAGGCAACGAUGCGUAGCCGACCUGAGAGGGUGAUCGGCCACACUGAACUGAGACACGGUCCAGACUCCUACGGGAGGCAGCAGAG
This 262-nucleotide ribosomal RNA is filed under the name uncultured Staphylococcus sp. RNAcentral describes it as "partial 16S ribosomal RNA". It matches the Rfam family "Bacterial small subunit ribosomal RNA", at positions 99 to 354 of the family's 1533-position model. Lineage: Bacteria; Bacillati; Bacillota; Bacilli; Caryophanales; Staphylococcaceae. The record is from RNAcentral.